RNAcentral lists this long non-coding RNA (556 nucleotides) under Phascolarctos cinereus (koala). Its description in RNAcentral is "lncRNA (ENSPCIG00000030638.1)". Lineage: Eukaryota; Metazoa; Chordata; Mammalia; Diprotodontia; Phascolarctidae. The record is from RNAcentral.
GAUUGAGAUGUGACAUGCAAGAUAUCAACAUAGUACUGAUAUUACCCUUUAGAAUUACAAAUAGGGUCAUAUCAAGGCAAUGACGUUCCUUUUUUUCCCUUUUCUUUCAUUUCUUGUCCAGUUGCCUUGGAAAAUGUUCAAUAUUUCUGUCAUUCUCUCUCAUUUCUCAGAGAUCAAAUAAGAAUAAUAUAUGUAAGACACUUUGUAAAACUGAAAGUGCUAUGUAAAUGCAAGCUAUGACGAUGAUAAUGAUGAUGAUUCCUUUUACCUUUUCAUUGUUCUACUUGUGAGCCAAAAAAGAUUGUCAUCCUAGAUUCUUAGUAAUUUUAGAUGAAAAUAAACUUCAUCGUCCUCUUCCUAGAUAAUGAUUUGGAACCAAAUGAACUCCCUGACUUCAUACAUCUAGAUAUACUUACUGAAGUGUUAGAGGAACUGCCCAUGCCACCAAAAAUUAAGAAAGUGGAAAUGGAUGAGGAAGCAGUUAAUAAUGAAAAUGAGUCAACAGUUCCAAGUAAGAACAAACAUUAAAAAUAAACGUAUAAAUAAAUGACUAUCA